AAUGAACGCUGGCGGCAUGCCUUACACAUGCAAGUCGAACGGCAGCAUGACCUAGCUUGCUAGGUUGAUGGCGAGUGGCGAACGGGUGAGUAAUGCAUCGGAACGUGCCUUUUAGUGGGGGAUAACGUAGCGAAAGUUACGCUAAUACCGCAUAUUCUCUGAGGAGGAAAGCAGGGGACCUUCUGGCCUUGCGCUAGAAGAGCGGCCGAUGUCGGAUUAGCUAGUUGGUGAGGUAAAGGCUCACCAAGGCAACGAUCCGUAGCGGGUCUGAGAGGAUGAUACGCCACACUGGGACUGAGACAAGGCCCAGACUCCUACGGGAGGCAGCAGUGGGGAAUUUUGGACAAUGGGCGCAAGCCUGAUCCAGCCAUGCCGCGUGAGUGAAGAAGGCCUUCGGGUUGUAAAGCUCUUUCGGCUGGGAAGAAAUCGCACCCUCUAAUACAGGGUGUGGAUGACGGUACCAGCAGAAGAAGCACCGGCUAACUACGUG
Molecule: ribosomal RNA, 490 nt
Filed under: uncultured bacterium
Lineage: Bacteria
Description: partial 16S ribosomal RNA
Rfam family: Bacterial small subunit ribosomal RNA
Source: RNAcentral